Long non-coding RNA from Phyllostomus discolor (pale spear-nosed bat), 2041 nucleotides. RefSeq lists it as uncharacterized. The transcript is spliced from 2 exons. NCBI's taxonomy places the organism in Eukaryota, Metazoa, Chordata, Mammalia, Chiroptera, Phyllostomidae. The record is from RefSeq and is a predicted model, not a curated record.
CCGCCCACCCCGAAAGCUACCCGGCCAGGCCCCGCCCACCCUGAAAGACGACAGUUAGGGCACAGCCACCCCGGAAUUAGGACCUGUCCCACUCCCGCCCGCCCACCCAGAAAAAGGACCCGGCGCAGCCACGCCCAUCCUGGAAGAGGACUUGGCCCAGCCACGCCCACCCCGGAACAGCCGAAGGGAAGCGGCAGCCCCGCCUCUGUCAGGCCUGUGGGUGUCUUUCGGGAAGCAGAGGGUGCCCUUCGGGGGGGUGGGGGAGGGGAAGGGUCGGAGUCAGAGUCGGGAAGGGGUGCUGGCAGGGAACAGAGUCGGACCCCCAUGCAGCAGGAAGAAGUACUCCCUCCCGCUCGAAGGAGGGCCACCUCACAUCAGCUCAGGUAGGCUGGGUGCUUACGUAUGAAUCCCCGCCGGGACAGGGGAGGUCUCUGCGAGCCGGUGUUCACAGUGCGGGGACCUGCCGAUGACUCCUCGCGCGCUCCCGAAGCACGUUUGCACCUCAGUAAAGGCACACACCCCAAGUGGGAGGAAAUUUGGGUGAAAACAUAUCUGUUAGAGGAGGCUCUAAUCCGAUUAUUAGGUAUGCCAAUGAAAUAAGAAAAUGGACAAAAGGCCUGAUUGCAAUCUGAGAACAUACAGAAUUCAAGGAAAAACCUAGAAAUUUUGAAGACAUUUAAUAACAUUAAAGACCAAAUCCUGCACAUGAAUUUGGAUAGGUGCAAUGUUUGAAAUGGCCAAAGAAACCAUGAUGUUUAAAUUAACAAUGGUAUCUUCUGUCUUCAGAAAACUUGCCAUAUAAUGUGUUCGUCCCUUGUCUUGCAGCAAUUCUACCUUUUGUUAAGUCUUUUGGGAAUCAUCAAAGAAAUGAUAAACAUAACUCAUUUAAUGACUGUUAAAAAUGUGAUUCCUCUUGCAGGUUGAAUAUUAAGGUCAAGUAAAGGUGACCAAGAAGAUUAUAUACCAGAAAAAGAGAAUCUUAUUCAUUUGAAGUUACCCCUCCCUAAUCUAGGUCAGAAUACAAAGUGUAUUAAAAUGAAUGACUCCAAAAUUUCGUGAAUGCCAUUUCUUAGUCCUUAAUGACAACAAAAAUGUGAUUCUCAGUAUUGUUUUCUUUCAAGGCAAAAUCUUGUAAAUUCAGACUAGAAGAGAUAAGGGCAUUGUUUAGGGCAUUUCAAGUUUGAAAUGAAAGUAUUGAUUUAUUUAAGAACCUCAAAACAAAUAAUUGUAUAUUUAUCUCUUAUCUUUUAAUCCCUUAGGUCCGCAUGUCUUCAGUUAAACUGGAAAUAUAACUUUAGGAAAAAGGAUUUAAUAUCUAUCUUUUUGCAACACACUCCAAAGAGCAAAACUGAAACAAACAAGAUUCUUCAGUAUAUCUUCAAAAUUAAACAUUUUCCCUUAGUGGUAUAUUUCAAAUGCAUAAUCACAGUUCAUUGUUUUAGCUAUUGGUCUUCUAAACUUGUUCAGAAAACUGUGAAGUCAUUAGUAUAUAUUUUAGUAACUUUGUAAAGCUAAUAAUAAAAUAUUUUCUACUUCUUACCCGAGGGGUAAAUUAAAUGUCUUAUUGAAUGUAAGCUCCUGUUCUCUAUUCUCUACUGUGACCCCAGGGCAUAAAACAGUAGCUAGAACUUGGUAGGCACUUGUUAAAUAUUUCUUGUUGAUUAAAUAAGAUGUCUUUGUAUUUUAAGUAUCUGAAAAGUCCAUGAAACAUGAGAGGAAUCAUUAUUCAGAUAGCAUGGUGAUUUUUAGAAAAGAUAACCUCAUCCAAACUCCAGUUGAUCGUUGGAUGAGGUACAUGAUUUCUAACCUUUAAAUUCAGAGAAACACUACUCAUUCAAGAGCCAACGAACCAAGCAUUGAAAAAAGAACCUACCUUUUUCUUGCUAUUGUACUUUAAAACUGCUUACAUGCUCUUAUGUAUGGUAUUUCUUAUUCCACUUUGUACUCUUUAUACCAUGUAACAUCUCUUUCCACAUAAUGUCAUAGUAUUAGUCCUUUGUGCAGACCAGUGGCCAAUAAAUUUUGUUGUAUGAAAUGAAAA